UUGAAAUAAACUUGAUAAGUUGUUGCUGGUUCUCUAGGGAGCAUGUGCACACUUGUCAUCUUUGUAUCCCCACCUGUGCAUCUUUUGUAGACCUUGGGUAUCUCUCUGAUUGCUUAGCACUCAGGAUUGAGGAUUGACUUUUCUGUCUUUCCUUACAUUUCCAGGUCUAUGUUUUCUCAAAUACUCUAAUGUAUGUUUAUAGAAUGUAAUCAAUAGGCCUUUUGUGCCUAUAAAUUGAUA
RNAcentral lists this unclassified non-coding RNA (240 nucleotides) under uncultured Cortinarius. RNAcentral's name for it is "sequence contains ITS1". The record is from RNAcentral. Lineage: Eukaryota; Fungi; Basidiomycota; Agaricomycetes; Agaricales; Cortinariaceae.